AAAAAGUUAUACACAAACUUUUCAAAGCAAGAUUUACUAAGAUAAAAAAAGUGCUUAUCACGUAUGUAAUUUUAACAGUAAUCAUUUUUAGUCAAUUCUACAUGACUCGCAUAACUACAAUGGUAUGUGUAUAUUCAAUUGCUUGUUUUUUGCCGAUUCGAUUUGAUAUAACGCGCGGUUUGAUAUGACGCGCGGUUUUGUAAUAUAAAUCUUUUAUAGAAUGUAAAAAUAAUGGUUUAUCAUGACCGGCAAUUUAUUUUGAUACAUGAUGUAACACCAAAUCAGUAAUGACAAGCCGUUUGGUUAUUUUUUAUUUUAUUGUUAUUCGGCGUGUCAUUGUACUGAUUAUACGCAUCAUUACCCAAAUUGUUCAAUAUCAGGUCCCACAUAAAGAUAUAAGUUUUAAAAACUGAGAAAAAAUUCAGAACAAGGUGAAGACAUUAUUGGCGAUAAGUGCGUUGACUUCAAAUAACGACGUGCAGUGCUGACGUGCGUUGAUGAGACGGCAAAAACAAAGAAACUAGAAUUCGGUUAGAAUUAAAUCAAAUUAUUGAACUAUUAUUGAAUUAUUGAAAAAAAUAUAAAGGAUUGUUAAAGAUUUUUUCUUCGCGAUGGGAAAGGGCUUUUUUAAAAGAUUUAAGCUCACUUCAAAAUCACGGAAGCACACUCGCGUCACAUAUUACGAUGUUGUGCGCAAUUCACAGCCCAGCAGUCCUACGACCGGACUUUCCCGUUACGGGGAAACCAUUGACGAGCGCAUGGCGCACAUUGUAAAAAAGAAAACAACGCCACGUAUGGAAAUUGAAGAAAUCAUAAAGGAAGAGAUAAUUGCUGGACGUCGACCGAAGAGUAGUUUAGAAGUUAUUGAAGAUGUAUUAUGCGGAUCUUCGUCUGAUAUAGUUUAUGACGAAAUCAAAGGUUUUGAUGAUUUUAUGAUGUACUAAAACCUACGGAACUUACAAAAAGAUAUGCCAUAUUAGAGUAUUUACUGCAAGAGAUAAUAAAGUCUAUAUUUAUUAAACUUUGUAUAUAUAGCAUUGUGUUGAAUAUAAAUUUUGUAACUAUAAUUAGCUACAUUGGCUUGUAUACGCCUUCUUGAACAUUGAAUUUGUAUGCAAGAUAAAGUGACCUGAAUGAAA
This is a long non-coding RNA of Hydractinia symbiolongicarpus, 1139 nucleotides long. RefSeq lists it as uncharacterized. The transcript is spliced from 2 exons. The record is from RefSeq and is a predicted model, not a curated record. Lineage: Eukaryota; Metazoa; Cnidaria; Hydrozoa; Anthoathecata; Hydractiniidae.